GACGAACGCUGGCGGCAUGUCUAAUACAUGCAAGUCGAGCGAACAGAUGAAGUGCUUGCACUUCUGACGUUAGCGGCGAACGGGUGAGUAACACGUAAGGAAUCUACCUAUAAGCGGGGGAUAACAUUCGGAAACGGGUGCUAAUACCGCAUAAUAUCUUCUUCCGCAUGGAAGAAGAUUGAAAGACGGCUCUGCUGUCACUUAUAGAUGACCUUGCGGUGCAUUAGUUAGUUGGUGGGGUAAUGGCCUACCAAGACGAUGAUGCAUAGCCGACCUGAGAGGGUGAUCGGCCACAUUGGGACGGGGACACGGCCCAAACUCCUACGGGAGGCAGCAGUAGGGAAUCUUCCGCAAUGGGCGAAAGCCUGACGGAGCAAUGCCGCGUGAGUGAAGAAGGCCUUCGGGUCGUAAAACUCUGUUAUAAGAGAAGAACAAAUUGUAGAGUAACUGCUACAGUCUUGACGGUAUCUUAUCAGAAAGCCACGGCUAACUACGUGCCAGCAGCCGCCGUAA
RNAcentral lists this ribosomal RNA (513 nucleotides) under uncultured bacterium. RNAcentral's name for it is "partial 16S ribosomal RNA". It matches the Rfam family "Bacterial small subunit ribosomal RNA", at positions 28 to 523 of the family's 1533-position model. The record is from RNAcentral.